Molecule: ribosomal RNA, 253 nt
Filed under: uncultured bacterium
Lineage: Bacteria
Description: partial 16S ribosomal RNA
Rfam family: Bacterial small subunit ribosomal RNA
Source: RNAcentral
UACGUAGGGUGCUAGCGUUGUUCGGAAUUACUGGGCGUAAAGCGCGCGUAGGCGGCUUUGUAAGUUAGAGGUGAAAGCCCGGAGCUCAACUCCGGAAUUGCCUUUAAGACUGCAUCGCUAGAAUCAUGGAGAGGUGAGUGGAAUUCCGAGUGUAGAGGUGAAAUUCGUAGAUAUUCGGAAGAACACCAGUGGCGAAGGCGACUCACUGGACAUGUAUUGACGCUGAGGUGCGAAAGCGUGGGGAGCAAACAGG